CGGGGUGUGGCGCAGCCUGGUAGCGCACCUGCUUUGGGAGCAGGGAGUCGGAGGUUCAAAUCCUCUCACCCCGACCA
RNAcentral lists this transfer RNA (77 nucleotides) under Deltaproteobacteria bacterium. RNAcentral's name for it is "tRNA-Pro". It matches the Rfam family "tRNA". Rfam says of the family: Transfer RNA (tRNA) molecules are approximately 80 nucleotides in length. Their secondary structure includes four short double-helical elements and three loops (D, anti-codon, and T loops). Further hydrogen bonds mediate the characteristic L-shaped molecular structure. tRNAs have two regions of fundamental functional importance: the anti-codon, which is responsible for specific mRNA codon recognition, and the 3' end, to which the tRNAs corresponding amino acid is attached (by aminoacyl-tRNA synthetases). tRNAs cope with the degeneracy of the genetic code in two manners: having more than one tRNA (with a specific anti-codon) for a particular amino acid; and 'wobble' base-pairing, i.e. permitting non-standard base-pairing at the 3rd anti-codon position. Lineage: Bacteria; Pseudomonadati; Myxococcota; Myxococcia. The record is from RNAcentral. RNAcentral also lists the same sequence under 12 other names.